AUGUCUACGUUGCUGGUUUACAUCCAGGCCGGGUGCCCCCUCUCCUGCAGCGGCUCGCUUGGGCUGAGGUUCCUCGCUAGACCGACGUGCGUCCGGCUGAUGUCUACGUUGCUGGUUUACAUCCAGGCCGGGUGCCCCCUCUCCUACAGCGGCUCGCUUGGGCUGAGGUUCCUCGCUAGACCGACGUGCGUCCGGCUGAUGUCUACGUUGCUGGUUUACAUCCAGGCCGGGUGCCCCCUCUCCUGCAGCGGUGCCAGCCAUCAUCGCCGUCAGACCAUCGUCUUACAGCUAAGCGACCGUGUGAGCAAUAGCCGUAGCUGGUUGAUGCCUUCCAGCAGCAGCUCCCACUGUCGUCCAGUUGUUCGCCUACGCUGGCCCGGAAGGGAGCCGUAG
This 393-nucleotide ribosomal RNA is filed under the name Triticum aestivum (bread wheat). Its description in RNAcentral is "partial small subunit ribosomal RNA". Lineage: Eukaryota; Viridiplantae; Streptophyta; Magnoliopsida; Poales; Poaceae. The record is from RNAcentral.